UGACCACUCUAUUUUUAGGGUUAAGGCCAUACGGACAGCGGGUCAACUGCCGA
Molecule: small RNA, 53 nt
Filed under: unclassified sequences
Also listed under: 1 other name
Description: Streptococcus sRNA SpF59 (ldcC RNA)
Rfam family: Streptococcus sRNA SpF59 (ldcC RNA)
Source: Rfam by way of RNAcentral